AUUAAUUCCAUUGCUGUACCAUGUUACCUCAUAUGUAACAGCCACGAUGAAACAGUUUCUGUUGAGUUUUUGCCUGGCUGUAGGCCUUUUCAGCACGUUGUUACCUCAAACAGGUACAUAUUGCAUUACAGAUUUUGUCCUUAUUUAACCUACAACCUGAUUCUACUCCCCUCCUUUUUACCUAUUGGGCAAUAUGACUUCAAGUCUUACUGACAGACACGUCUGUACUUGCACCAAACUACCCCGAACUCGGGUUAUGGUUUGGAUCCUUGGGGAGGCUUAGCUGUGGGUGGAACCUUCCAAUAUGAUGGAUCGGCCCUGGUGGCCUAUCAGAAUGUGGUUGUGGUUGUCAUUCAGUAUCGCCUUAGCAUCCUGGGUUUCUUAAGGUAUGACCUUGACAACAUUUCACCAGUGUUACUCUACAUUUACUCCAAUUCGCAUUAAGUGCCUUAAACUCUAACUGAACUAUAGUAUGUUUUACAAUGGUGCCUUGAAUGUUAAUUUGAUGUGUCAGGUGUGCCAAAACAAUUGCAACCUUAGACAUUACAACACCAUGUGUAUUGUUUAUUUGCUUCAAGUACAGGAGACAAACAUGCAGGUGGUAACUGGGGCUUCUUGGACCAGAUUGCCAGCCUUCAGUGGGUUCGUGAUAAUAUCAUGGAUUUUGGGGGAGACCCAGACUCAGUCACCAUCUUCGGACAAUCUACCUGGGGCAUUAGUGCAUCCAUGCUGGUGUUGUGUCCAUUAGCUGAGGGCCUGUUUCCCAGAGCCAUCCCAAUGAGUGGAGUGGCACCACUAGAGGCCCAUUACGACCAACAACCCACUGGCCAAUGCCAAGAUACUCAUGAAUACCUAUGUAACACAGCAUCCAGGUCCACACCCACCCUGCCCCCAUUAAUGCUGGUACAAAACAAACCAUUGGUUACAAUAUGAAUAACAUGAUGGCCCUGACUAUGACCUAAAAUAGUAACCAGUCUUCUCUGAGAGGGUUUGUUAAUGGCAGGUGAAUUCC
Long non-coding RNA from Oncorhynchus tshawytscha (Chinook salmon), 1012 nucleotides. RefSeq lists it as uncharacterized. The record is from RefSeq and is a predicted model, not a curated record. The transcript is spliced from 3 exons. NCBI's taxonomy places the organism in Eukaryota, Metazoa, Chordata, Actinopteri, Salmoniformes, Salmonidae.